AGUGAACGCUGGCGGUAGGCCUAACACAUGCAAGUCGAACGGCAGCACAGUAAGAGCUUGCUCUUACGGGUGGCGAGUGGCGGACGGGUGAGGAAUACAUCGGAAUCUACUUUUUCGUGGGGGAUAACGUAGGGAAACUUACGCUAAUACCGCAUACGACCUACGGGUGAAAGCAGGGGAUCUUCGGACUUGCGCGAUUGAAUGAGCCGAUGUCGGAUUAGCUAGUUGGCGGGGUAAAGGCCCACCAAGGCGACGAUCCGUAGCUGGUCUGAGAGGAUGAUCAGCCACACUGGAACUGAGACACGGUCCAGACUCCUACGGGAGGCAGCAGUGGGGAAUAUUGGACAAUGGGCGCAAGCCUGAUCCAGCCAUACCGCGUGGGUGAAGAAGGCCUUCGGGUUGUAAAGCCCUUUUGUUGGGAAAGAAAAGCAGCAGGUUAAUACCCCGCUGUUCUGACGGUACCCAAAGAAUAAGCACCGGCUAACUUCGUG
Molecule: ribosomal RNA, 491 nt
Filed under: uncultured bacterium
Lineage: Bacteria
Description: partial 16S ribosomal RNA
Rfam family: Bacterial small subunit ribosomal RNA
Source: RNAcentral